GAUUAUUGGGCCUANAGCAUCCGUAGCCGGCUCUGUAAGUUUUCGGUUAAAUCUGUACGCUCAACGUACAGGCUGCCGGGAAUACUGCAGAGCUAGGGAGUGGGAGAGGUAGACGGUACUCGGUAGGAAGNGGUAAAAUGCUUUGAUCUAUCGAUGACCACCUGUGGCGAAGGCGGUCUACCAGAACACGUCCGACGGUGAGGGAUGAAAGCUGGGGGAGCAAACCGGAUUAGAUACCCGGGUAGUCCCAGCUGUAAACUAUGCAAACUCAGUGAUGCAUUGGCUUGUGGCCAAUGCAGUGCUGCAGGGAAGCCGUUAAGUUUGCCGCCUGGGAAGUACGUACGCAAGUAUGAAACUUAAAGGAAUUGGCGGGGGAGCAC
This 380-nucleotide ribosomal RNA is filed under the name uncultured archaeon. RNAcentral's name for it is "bacterial SSU rRNA". It matches the Rfam family "Archaeal small subunit ribosomal RNA", at positions 497 to 879 of the family's 1478-position model. The record is from RNAcentral.